AACGUGCCCAAUCGUGGGGGAUAACGUAGAGAAAUUUACGCUAAUACCGCAUAAGAUCUAAGGAUGAAAGCGGGGGACCCGUAAGGGCCUCGCGCGAUUGGAGCGGCUGAUAUCAGAUUAGGUAGUUGGUGUGGUAAAAGCGCACCAAGCCGACGAUCUGUAGCUGGUUUGAGAGAACGACCAGCCACACUGGGACUGAGACACGGCCCAGACUCCUACGGGAGGCAGCAGUGGGGAAUUUUGGACAAUGGGCGAAAGCCUGAUCCAGCAAUGCCGCGUGCAG
Molecule: ribosomal RNA, 283 nt
Filed under: uncultured bacterium
Lineage: Bacteria
Description: partial 16S ribosomal RNA
Rfam family: Bacterial small subunit ribosomal RNA
Source: RNAcentral